AUGAUUAUAGUUAAAUAGGUUAUAACAUUUGUUUUGCCAAACAAAUAUUAUCAGUUCAAUUCUGAUUAAUCAUA
RNAcentral lists this transfer RNA (74 nucleotides) under Omphalotus japonicus. Its description in RNAcentral is "tRNA-Gly". It matches the Rfam family "tRNA". Rfam says of the family: Transfer RNA (tRNA) molecules are approximately 80 nucleotides in length. Their secondary structure includes four short double-helical elements and three loops (D, anti-codon, and T loops). Lineage: Eukaryota; Fungi; Basidiomycota; Agaricomycetes; Agaricales; Omphalotaceae. The record is from RNAcentral.